AGAGUUUGAUCCUGGCUCAGAUUGAACGCUGGCGGCAUGCCUAACACAUGCAAGUCGAACGGUAACAGGCCGCAUGGGAUCCCUUCGGGGUGACCUUGGCGCUGACGAGUGGCGGACGGGUGAGUAAUACUUAGGAAUCUGCCCAAUAGUGGGGGACAACUCGAGGAAACUCGAGCUAAUACCGCAUACGCCCUACGGGGGAAAGCGGGGGAUCUUCGGACCUCGCGCUAUUGGAUGAGCCUAAGUCGGAUUAGCUUGUUGGUAGGGUAAAGGCCUACCAAGGCGACGAUCCGUAGCUGGUCUGAGAGGACGAUCAGCCACACUGGGACUGAGACACGGCCCAGACUCCUACGGGAGGCAGCAGUGGGGAAUAUUGGACAAUGGGCGCAAGCCUGAUCCAGCAAUGCCGCGUGUGUGAAGAAGGCCUGCGGGUUGUAAAGCACUUUCAGUAGAGAAGAAAAGCUUACGGUUAAUACCUGUGAGUCUUGACGUAACCUACAGAAGAAGCACCGCUAACU
This 518-nucleotide ribosomal RNA is filed under the name uncultured bacterium. RNAcentral describes it as "bacterial SSU rRNA". It matches the Rfam family "Bacterial small subunit ribosomal RNA", at positions 8 to 502 of the family's 1533-position model. The record is from RNAcentral.